GUGAACGCUGGCGGUAGGCCUAACACAUGCAAGCCGAACGGCAGCACAGGAGAGCUUGCUCUCUAGGUGGCGAGUGGCGGACGGGUGAGGAAUACAUCGGAAUCUGCCCAGUCGUGGGGGAUAACGUAGGGAAACUUACGCUAAUACCGCAUACGACCUUCGGGUGAAAGAGGGGGAUCGCAAGACCUCUCGCGAUUGGAUGAGCCGAUGUCGGAUUAGCUAGUUAGCGGGGUAAUGGCCCACCAAGGCGACGAUCCGUAGCUGGUCUGAGAGGAUGAUCAGCCACACUGGAACUGAGACACGGUCCAGACUCCUACGGGAGGCAGCAGUGGGGAAUAUUGGACAAUGGGCGCAAGCCUGAUCCAGCCAUACCGCGUGGGUGAAGAAGGCCUUCGGGUUGUAAAGCCCUUUUGUUGGGAAAGAAAUCUUUCAGGCUAAUACCCUGGGAGGAUGACGGUACCCAAAGAAUAAGCACCGGCUAACUUCGUG
RNAcentral lists this ribosomal RNA (489 nucleotides) under uncultured bacterium. RNAcentral's name for it is "partial 16S ribosomal RNA". It matches the Rfam family "Bacterial small subunit ribosomal RNA", at positions 29 to 507 of the family's 1533-position model. The record is from RNAcentral.